UGCAGAAUCCCGCGAACCAUCGAGUCUUUGAACGCAAGUUGCGCCCGAGGCCACCUGGCCGAGGGCACGCCUGCCUGGGCGUCACGCCAAACACGCUCCCACCCCCUCAUCGUGAGUGGGAUGCGGCUUGUGGCCCCCCGUCUCGCAAGGGGCGGUGGGCCGAAGAUGCGGCUGCCGGCGUAUCGUGUCGGACACAGCGCGUGGUGGGCGACCUCGCUUUACUUACCGCAGUGCAUCCGGCCUGUUGCCGACGUGAUGGCCUUGAAGGACCCUAUAAACGGAGCGCACGACGCUUCGACCGCGACCCCAGGUCAGGCGGGACUACCCGCUGAGUUUAAGCAUAUAAAUAAGCGGAGGAGAAGAAACUUACAAGGAUUCCCCUAGUAACGGCGAGCGAACCGGGAUCAGCCCAGCUUGAGAAUCGGGCGGCCGUGCCGUCCGA
Molecule: ribosomal RNA, 442 nt
Filed under: Phleum alpinum
Lineage: Eukaryota; Viridiplantae; Streptophyta; Magnoliopsida; Poales; Poaceae
Description: eukaryotic LSU rRNA
Rfam family: Eukaryotic large subunit ribosomal RNA (bases 302-442)
Source: RNAcentral